Molecule: non-coding RNA, 84 nt
Organism: Conoideocrella luteorostrata
Lineage: Eukaryota; Fungi; Ascomycota; Sordariomycetes; Hypocreales; Clavicipitaceae
Source: the annotation of a GenBank genome assembly
GCUUCCGUAGCUCAGUUGGUUAGAGCUUCGUACUAAUAUACGUUAGUAAUGCGAAGGUCGCAGGUUCAAGCCCUGCCGGGAGCA